This 465-nucleotide ribosomal RNA is filed under the name Vreelandella stevensii. RNAcentral's name for it is "partial 16S ribosomal RNA". It matches the Rfam family "Bacterial small subunit ribosomal RNA", at positions 338 to 795 of the family's 1533-position model. Lineage: Bacteria; Pseudomonadati; Pseudomonadota; Gammaproteobacteria; Oceanospirillales; Halomonadaceae. The record is from RNAcentral.
CCUACGGGUGGCAGCAGUGGGGAAUAUUGGACAAUGGGGGCAACCCUGAUCCAGCCAUGCCGCGUGUGUGAAGAAGGCCCUCGGGUUGUAAAGCACUUUCAGUGAGGAAGAACGCCUGGUGGUUAAUACCCAUCAGGAAAGACAUCACUCACAGAAGAAGCACCGGCUAACUCCGUGCCAGCAGCCGCGGUAAUACGGAGGGUGCGAGCGUUAAUCGGAAUUACUGGGCGUAAAGCGCGCGUAGGUGGCUUGAUAAGCCGGUUGUGAAAGCCCCUGGCUCAACCUGGGAACGGCAUCCGGAACUGUCAAGCUAGAGUGCAGGAGAGGAAGGUAGAAUUCCCGGUGUAGCGGUGAAAUGCGUAGAGAUCGGGAGGAAUACCAGUGGCGAAGGCGGCCUUCUGGACUGACACUGACACUGAGGUGCGAAAGCGUGGGUAGCAAACAGGAUUAGAUACCCGUGUAGUC